ACGCUCGACACCUACGGGAGGCAGCAGUAGGGAAUCUUCCGCAAUGGACGAAAGUCUGACGGAGCAACGCCGCGUGAACGAUGAAGGUUUUCGGAUCGUAAAGUUCUGUUGUUAGGGAAGAACAAACUUCGUUUGAAUAAGGCGGAGUCAUGACGGUACCUAACGAGAAAGCCACGGCUAACUACGUGCCAACAGCCGCGGUAAUCUGAGCGGGCUGGCAAGGC
RNAcentral lists this ribosomal RNA (224 nucleotides) under uncultured bacterium. RNAcentral's name for it is "partial 16S ribosomal RNA". It matches the Rfam family "Bacterial small subunit ribosomal RNA", at positions 328 to 539 of the family's 1533-position model. The record is from RNAcentral.